ACCUGACUGGCUCAGUCGAAAGAGCAUGGGACUCAUGAUCCUGGGGUCAUGAGUUCGAGCCCCACAUUGGGUG
RNAcentral lists this transfer RNA (73 nucleotides) under Felis catus (domestic cat). It matches the Rfam family "tRNA". Rfam says of the family: Transfer RNA (tRNA) molecules are approximately 80 nucleotides in length. RNAcentral also lists the same sequence under 1 other name. The record is from Rfam by way of RNAcentral. Lineage: Eukaryota; Metazoa; Chordata; Mammalia; Carnivora; Felidae.